AGGAAAGUCCAGGAACAGAGCAUUUUCACCAUCAUGGAGAGGGUCAGGUACAGAGGUAACUCUACCUGGGGUCUGGAUUAAAUUCUUCAGUGGACGCCAUGAUGCAGAUGCUGUAUUCGGCCUUCUCUCUGCUGCCUGCAAUGUGACAAGCUCUUCUCUGCACAACGAAAGAUGGACUUUGCCAAGCUCAAAUGUCUGCAAAACCUCAGUGUGAUUGGUGAACCCUUAGCUGGUAUCUGAAGAUGUCUUUAACAAAGAGAGAACUAAGGUCAUUUUGAUCUCUGGAGAACAAAGUUUCCGUGUCAUAGCUGCAGAUUUUAACAACCGGCACCCAGAAAAACCUCCAAUUUCAUAUAACACUGUCCGGUUCCUAAUUCCCAAAUUGUGAGAAACUGAGACACUGGCUGACAAGUCACGGAGUGGUCAUCUAAAAAGUGCUACUGACGAGACAACCUCAACAAUGGUU
Molecule: long non-coding RNA, 466 nt
Organism: Pseudophryne corroboree (corroboree frog)
Lineage: Eukaryota; Metazoa; Chordata; Amphibia; Anura; Myobatrachidae
Exons: 3
Source: RefSeq, a predicted model, not a curated record